Molecule: long non-coding RNA, 207 nt
Filed under: Elaeis guineensis (African oil palm)
Lineage: Eukaryota; Viridiplantae; Streptophyta; Magnoliopsida; Arecales; Arecaceae
Description: long non-coding RNA (EGUI_LNC065272)
Source: RNAcentral
UUACAAAAGAUUUCUUAACGACAUAUAAGAUUUGGACUUAUCAUGGAGAGACGUACUAUUCUACUAGGUCUAACCAAGACUGUGAAAGUAGAGAUUUUUUUGAUGCGGAAGAUGAUAUAGUUGGAUUGAUACAAGAGGCAACUAGAAUCUUAAUGUCGGAUGACAAUAUGAAAUUUAAUCAUUUAAUGCAGAAUGAGGGUCAUGAGG